Long non-coding RNA from Varroa destructor (honeybee mite), 4001 nucleotides. The record is from RefSeq and is a predicted model, not a curated record. NCBI's taxonomy places the organism in Eukaryota, Metazoa, Arthropoda, Arachnida, Mesostigmata, Varroidae.
ACUAGGGUACGUGGACGUCGGUUCGCCCGUUGCUGUUAUUGCCGCUGUUACGGUGGUUGAUGUUGAACUGAUGCAAGAAGGAAUGGCUAAAGUAGAACCUACGAUUACUCGUCAGCUCAGCUAAAGACGGGAGUCUCGAAGCGAGUAAUGCGAAUGGAGACGUUACCGCUCGCACGGCACAAACCUUUUCUACGAAUCAUUUCAUUUACAGAGGACCGGCAAACAUCCUAUUCAGGCCGAUGAUCGAUGUUCGAGCAACAACUGCAUAGCUUUCCCUCGAUCAGGGAGGUGAUGAAUCGCCAUGAAUGGAACAAGCACGAAUAGCUCGAACACGUCGAACUUCUGUCUCUUCGACUCGCUUGUCAGGCUACGGGCACAAUUAGCUUGCCGUGGCAAUGUUUGUUCGCCAAAGCAUUUUUCCCUUAAUUAUACUGAAGUCUGGAGAGUAAAUUGCGCGAAGUAACCGCAGUGCCUAGGGUUGUACGGAACAGAGAAGCGCGGUAAGAUGAAGAGUCCUGCUGCAUUGUUAACUAACGAAUACAGAAUUGUUUACGUAAGCGAAGCAGAGCAGACAGCUCACACCAAGUUACCGGGCGGAACCUCGUACUCUGUGCCUAAUAACUUCUUUCUGUUUAGCAUACACUUCCGAGUUGGUACGAAGCAGCUACGGGGGUGGCAUCGAUCUUCCGCCUUUAGCUGGCGCGAAGAAAAUCGAAAAACCGAAUAUCUAAGAUCUAACUGGCAGUGCUGACCUUUUAGCUGAAACAUUGUUGAAACAGACAUCGAAUUCAACGAAUACGGCACUGCGUGGUCUUGAAGUGGAAGCUGAGUUCUGUGGAAACAGUGCACAUGUAGCUAUGUUUAGAAAUUUUACCUCGCAAAAGCUACCUCGUUACGUAACCGAAUUAUAUAAUCAAAAGUGCAGAAGUGUCCAUUUAACUUGAAAAAAAGAGACUUAAUUUGACUACUCGCACAAUCCAAUGAUCUGCUAUUCCUCAAAGUGGCGUGCAGUAUGGAAAGCACUGAGGUGCGAAUGAACACAAGGAAUUGUCGUGCUGUGAGAGCUAUUCGAAUUUGAUUCUAAUAUGGAAUACGUUAUGAAACUUCAUUAAGGUGCAUACUUCAAUGACUCAUGGAUGACGUACUUACUUGUAAUGCCCCAAGGUCAAUUGUGUUCAACUUUGAAAAAGAAUUGGACCGCCCGCCGUUAGCGUACUGUCCAGCCAAAGUUGUCAGGAAUUUAACAGGCGAUGUCAUAGAGUUAAGAACGGUAGAUAGCGUUGUCAUUUUGUCGCUUGUAAGAUCUAAAACUUAAUGAAUUGGCACUCGCGUACUAGUAACGCCCGAAGUAUCUCUGAAGUAUUUUUAUCCCAGACACUGAGUUGCGGUUUUACAGGAGAUGGACAUAAAAAUUUUGUUAUCUUUGGUUAGUUCACUUCACAAACGAUUGUUGAACUAGCAACACACUCGAUGCAUUUUAGACGGUCUCGGUACUUAGUCAUUCACAAUGCGUUCUGUGUUGAGCGUAUCAGCUGAUACCAUAGAAAAAAGUAUGACAAUAGUUAAGCACUGAUAAAAAAACGUGCGCAAACUGUCUUCGAGUGAUAGUUUCGUUCUGAAAAACGUUUGUUAGAUUUGGAAUAAUUUUGCAAAUUCAUCUGGUCUUAUUUAAGUUAUUGUUGGAACUUACACAAGAAGCACAAAUUUGGUAAAUGAAGCAAAUAUCGUUCUAAAAACGUUUGUAUUCUUUCAGGUGGCUUUAUUCUGUCGAGUUCGGUCCCUUUACGAAAAAGGGACCCUUUACAAGAUAUCCGAUUUUGUUUAUUAUGCUUAAUUAGGACACAAUAAAGUUUUCUUCGUGAAAAAGUAGAUAGCUAGCUGCGGAUCGAUACAUUUGGGUUAACUGCCUCUGGGCUUCUCUAGUACUUCGUGGACAAAAUGCAUAUUUUCAACAUGUGAUACUAUUUGAUUCUACUGUUCAAAGAGUGUAGUAUGUUAAAUUGAGCUUGACAGACCUGUACAAGACACAACUAUCAAAGUGCGUAUUACGCUAUCGGAAAAUAUAAAAUUUUCAUGGUUUACCCGCUAUAGACGUUUCAAGUAAGGCGAUCUAUUAAAUAAGAAACGUGAAAGAAUAGGUUUCCAAAAGGUAAAAAUCAUUCGAUUCCGAAAAUGACUUGAGAGCUGCGUGAUGUAUUAAAGCAAGCAGUCACUACAUAGCUUUCUUUUGGCUUGCCUUACUUUUGGCGUAACGUGUAUGCACGUUUUUUUUAAUUUACAACUCCUACAAAUACUUUCAGCUGUUCACUCUACUACCGUACACAGAGCACAUGCAAGGAUUUUUACUUAGUUAUAUAGUGAAAUCGCUUUCACUAUUAAUGUGUCUUUAUUAAAGUGAACAUUUUUUUUUGUAUGCCAAUUGGAUCUCCUAUUUUUAGACCUGAUUCGCGAAACGUUGCUGAGGCUUCAAAAGACUCUUACAGUAGAACUAAGGUCACCGGAACAGGCACAAGUACUUCGAAAGAAAUCUACGCAAGGUGACUGGAUGUGUAAUCAUUGUCCAUACAAGAGUAAUAAUCUAUCCAACGUAAAGAUGCACGAAACCCAUCAUUUUAAAGGGGCCCAAUUUAAAUGUCGUUAUUGCUCAUUUUCGGCUGAGCGGCAGAAUGCACUAAUAUCACAUGAGCUAAAACUGCACGUGGAUACAUUGACUCUCCCUCCAACGGGGCGAUCCAGCCAGAGUGGCGGCCAUAGUGUACACCAGCAAUUGCAGUCUGUGCAGUCAACAAUGACCACAACGCAAGCGUCAACAGGAUCUGGAACUGUAACACAGACCACGAAUUCGAAUCAAGGCCGGAAAAAGUCCUCUGGAGGAUCCUAGCAAAGGCAUUCAUUUAGAAAAUAUCUUUAUUUUUGAAUGUAUAUUUUUUACAGGAUAUUACUGAAUUCGUUCCCAUUUAGAACAAUAUUUCUCUGAGCGCAUACUCUUUGCUCUAAGCAAUCUGCGUGGCGUAGUAAUAACAAUAAUGAUAACUUGAUGUAUAUAUCACAUAAGCUUUUACGGUCAUGUUAUAUACUUUUAUAUUCUGUUGUUAGGGGGGUCGCUGCUUGUACGCCGAGUCGUGAUUCGUUUUGGAAACUACGAUAAUGAACCCCAUCUUAUAAUUGUCAUCAUAACAUUGCAGUUGUAUUAUUCGAUUUGAGUUGAUUUCCUUCAGGAUGUAUCAUCUUAGCAGUGUUGGUAGGUAAACAUCUUCAAAUUCGUAAGUGCUAUAAUGGCUUUAAAAGCUGGAGGAAAUGCCGAACACCGUGAGAUACAUGCCGGCAUUUGCUUAUUAUAUGGUCACAUGGAAUUUUUGAAUGUUUUGAUCAUAAUUGCGAGUUUCUCUGUCUGAUUUAAGUGUUUCCGAUUACAACUGAUUUGAUGAGCGUUAGUUUCUCUCUGGUAACAAUCACCCAGCAAAUCGAAUGUCUUUGCAGGCCUGGGCUGUCGCUAGCUGCCAAUAGUACAAAGCACGCCGGGGGAGCGGGGGCGAUCAGAUGUACAUAUAACUCUGAACCUACUCAGCGGAAACACUACAGUACCUGUUAGUUAAAUGGGUUGGGACAUAUACACAAUUCACAACUUCAUUCUUGUUAGUACCGAAACAAAAAAUCAGUAAUUUUUUCUUUCAAAGUUCCCUGCACAGUAUAUCUCUUACCAAAGAUUAGUAUGGGUUUUAUGGCUUUGUUUUCUGUUAAGUACAGAAUAACCCUACUUUGAUUUGAGUAAGAUUAUUCUGUCAACUACGGAGGUUCAAAGAUGCGUGCCAACUAUACAACUCGUAAGAAAAACCUGAAGCUGAACAGCGUUUGAAAUAUAAAAACUCAGGCAUUUGUGACGAACCUCUAAGUUAACCUUAAUAAAAAAAAGGAGCAGAACCAAUCGAUUUGUUUAUGGGAAUUAGUAAAUACAGGAAUCAAAUGUCAAGACCUUAAUAAAUGAAUGACCUCAAAGCCUG